UACGGAGGAUCCGAGCGUUAUCCGGAUUUAUUGGGUUUAAAGGGUGCGCAGGCGGGAGAUUAAGUCGGCGGUGAAAUUUUGCAGCUCAACUGUAAAAGUGCCUUCGAAACUGGUUUCCUUGAGUGUAGAUGAAGUAGGCGGAAUUUGUGGUGUAGCGGUGAAAUGCAUAGAUAUCACGAGGAACUCCGAUUGCGCAGGCAGCUUACUAAACUACUACUGACGCUCAGGCACGAAGGCGUGGGGAUCAAACAGGAUUAGAUACCCCUGUAGUCCCU
RNAcentral lists this ribosomal RNA (275 nucleotides) under uncultured prokaryote. RNAcentral describes it as "partial 16S ribosomal RNA". It matches the Rfam family "Bacterial small subunit ribosomal RNA", at positions 524 to 798 of the family's 1533-position model. The record is from RNAcentral.